CUCGUAGGCGGCCAACUAAGUCAGACGUGAAAUCCCUCGGCUUAACCGGGGAACUGCGUCUGAUACUGGAUGGCUCGAGAUUGGGAGAGGGAUGCGGAAUUCCAGGUGUAGCGGUGAAAUGCGUAGAUAUCUGGAGGAACACCGGUGGCGAAGGCGGCAUCCUGGACCAACACUGACGCUGAGGAGCGAAAGCCAGGGGAGCAAACG
RNAcentral lists this ribosomal RNA (207 nucleotides) under uncultured bacterium. RNAcentral describes it as "partial 16S ribosomal RNA". It matches the Rfam family "Bacterial small subunit ribosomal RNA", at positions 568 to 774 of the family's 1533-position model. The record is from RNAcentral.